GACGAACGCUGGCGGCGUGCUUAACACAUGCAAGUCGAACGGAAAGGCCCUGCUUGCAGGGUGCUCGAGUGGCGAACGGGUGAGUAACACGUGGGUGAUCUGCCCCUUACUUUGGGAUAAGCCUGGGAAACUGGGUCUAAUACUGGAUAGGACCAUGCUGUAGGUGGUGUGGUGGAAAGAUUAGUUUCGGUAAGGGAUGAGCUCGCGGCCUAUCAGCUUGUUGGUGGGGUAAUGGCCUACCAAGGCGUCGACGGGUAGCCGGCCUGAGAGGGUGGACGGCAACAUGGGGACUGAGAUACGGCCCAGACUCCUACGGGAGGCAGCAGUGGGGAAUAUUGCACAAUGGGCGCAAGCCUGAUGCAGCGACGCCGCGUGGGGGAUGACGGCCUUCGGGUUGUAAACUCCUUUCAGCCAUGACGAAGCCCUUGUGGUGACGGUAGUGGUAGAAGAAGCACCGGCUAACUACGUG
Molecule: ribosomal RNA, 469 nt
Filed under: uncultured bacterium
Lineage: Bacteria
Description: partial 16S ribosomal RNA
Rfam family: Bacterial small subunit ribosomal RNA
Source: RNAcentral